UACGUAGGGUGCAAGCGUUUGUCCGGAAUUAUUGGGCGUAAAGAGCUCGUAGGCGGUCUGUCGCGUCGGCUGUGAAAACUCGGGGCUCAACUCCGAGCUUGCAGUCGAUACGGGCAGGCUAGAGUUCGGCAGGGGGAGACUGGAAUUCCUGGUGUAGCGGUGAAAUGCGCAGAUAUCAGGAGGAACACCGGUGGCGAAGGCGGGUCUCUGGGCCGAUACUGACGCUGAGGAGCGAAAGCGUGGGGGAGCGAACAGG
This 256-nucleotide ribosomal RNA is filed under the name uncultured bacterium. RNAcentral's name for it is "partial 16S ribosomal RNA". It matches the Rfam family "Bacterial small subunit ribosomal RNA", at positions 524 to 776 of the family's 1533-position model. The record is from RNAcentral.